GCAAGAGGUUCGACCCGAGCGAAGCGAGAGAACGUUGCGUCAGCAACGGCCCGCAGGGCGAGCCAUCCUCUAUCACCGGCAG
This 82-nucleotide small RNA is filed under the name Salmonella enterica subsp. enterica serovar Agona. RNAcentral describes it as "partial RtT sRNA". The stretch from base 1 to 62 matches the Rfam family "RtT RNA", at positions 35 to 95 of the family's 130-position model. Rfam says of the family: This family represents a bacterial cis-regulatory element known as RtT RNA. The exact function of RtT is unknown although it is thought that it may be involved in changing the cellular response in relation to amino acid starvation. The record is from RNAcentral. Lineage: Bacteria; Pseudomonadati; Pseudomonadota; Gammaproteobacteria; Enterobacterales; Enterobacteriaceae.